RNAcentral lists this small RNA (127 nucleotides) under Marmota monax (woodchuck). The record is from RNAcentral. Lineage: Eukaryota; Metazoa; Chordata; Mammalia; Rodentia; Sciuridae.
GCUGGGCAAGGUGGCGCACUCCUGUAAUCCCAGUAGCUCAGGAGACUGAGGCAGGAGGAUCACAAAUUCAAAGCCAGCCUCAGCAAUUUAGCAAGGCGCUAAGCAACUCUGUGAGACCCUGCCUCUA